GAGAAAAAGUUAUUUUCCAUGCCAACAAGCAUCUUUUUUGGAAAAAAAUAAUCUUUUAUGUCAAUCUCAAAUUUUCUUAUUUAUUUUUUCUGAUUUUCUUAUGAUAUAUGGCUUUUGGGCAAGUCCCACUCGAACUCACCAGAGUAACUCGGCUCCGGCCAGUGGCGAAUAUCCGGCCUUAGUCGAUUUCCAAAACACUGUUUUUGAGGGAAGAGGCAAGAGUAAAUAUGUCAAUCUAACACGAUUGUAACCUGGCUCGAUGGAUAAGAUGUUGGCAACUGCAACGCCACGUCCCAGGUAUAAAUCCCUCUACGACCUACCUGAAGAACAUAUUCUUGGUUGUAGUUUGAAUGGUGAUUGUCUGCUCAAAGAGAGAGAGUCUUUCGCGACCAUAGGUAUAAAAUACUUGCGUCUAUUUUUUCUUUUAAUUGAUCAUUAAUGAAAUUUUGUUACUGUAAAUAAUUUUUGAAGUAUAUCUUCACCAAAUUUGCCCACUACUACUGGCAUACACAGAUGGUUACAAAAAUAAGACUUUGAAUCAUGAGCCAAAUGGAUGGCAAUUGCAUUUGCUUCCGUCCAUGAGAAAUGGAGGUGGCCAAAAUGCCACUAAUUAUUCAAAAAAUCUUGUAAAAAAAAUUGCACGCCGGCCUCCAAGGGGGAGUUAUUUCCUUCUUUUCCCACAAGAUGACAUUGUUUCCUUCUUUGACAAGAUGACAUUGUUUGAGUCGGCUUCUAUGUCAAGCCUGCUCUCUUCUUUACCCACGAGAUGACAUUGUCUGAGUCGUCUUCUAUGUCAAGCCUGCUCUGUUCUAGUCUCAGGCUUUGCAGGUCCAAGAGCAGGACCCUUGCCUCCGCCUCACAAGCCUACCAAUCCUAGAUUAUCUUGAAAACUAACAUCAAAAUUGAGUUUCAUCUAAAGGCGACUCUAAGAACACCAUAACCUGGGUCUCAGCCUCAGCCUCAGCCUCAGUCCCCCUGCCCAUGGCAUCUAGCCCAUCUCCUCGACUAAAUUUUACAUAUCUCUAACUCGCUUCUUACCUCGUGGAGGCUAGUAUGGAGAGAAGCAAAUGCUGAAGCAGACCUCCUUGCUAGGGAGGGAGCUUCCAGCAACCCUUCAGAGGGGUUUCCAGCCACUUCUUUGAGCUACUGAACCCUUCACUCUGUCUCCCUCUUGUGUUUUUUGUAAAAUUUUCUCCUGGGAUUUUUUGGGCCCAUGUGGGCUUCUGUAUAGGGCUCCCAGUUGUAAUGGGUAGUCUAUUUACUGGUUGCUUGUAACUUCUUACUAUUAAUACAAUACAGUUAACAUCUUCAAAAAACAAAUUGAGUUUCAUCCGUCCUUACUUUUGGUAGCAUGCCUUCAAUAUAUCUUUUGUUAAUAUUCGUGGACUACUUGCAAUUAGAUGCCAUUUACUUUUAAUCCAAUGAGAUUCCCUGAAACCCUUCUCAGGCUAGAGCCCAUAAUAUAACCAUGGCUCCAACACUGUCUCUUAAACACCUCAUUCCAUGAAAUCUCUUUUUUUCUCAUUCCAAAUAAAUAAUCCACGGAGUCACGAGAAUGCACCUUUUCCAUAGAAGCAGCCAUCUUUUAGGUGAAGGUGGUGCCAUCUACUGCUUCAUCAGAUAAUGGAUCGAGCCCAAGAUAAGCCAUUGAAUUUGGAAGUGUUAGGAGAUGUUCCCAUAUUUUUCCACCAAUUUCACAAUGAAGAAACAGAUGGUUGACAUUCUCGGCUUCAUUCUUGGACAUAAGAGAUCUAUUGGUAAGGAUCAUAACUCAGCUGAUCAGGUGGUCAACAGUUAGGCCUUUGUUCAAUAAAAUUAACCAUCUGAGUGCUUGAAUCCAAACUUUAGACUCUACUGUGGGUGAUUCCUGGUGGAGGGAUAGAAGUUUGUAAAAGAUUUAACUGAGAAUAUAUCUGAGGUGCUACCCCUCCAUAUUAACCUGUAGUCCUUUUCUGGCCCAUCGUAGAAGUCUUGGAUAUCCUGAAAAGUCCCAAAAAAACUUCAAGGCAUUAUCUUUAAGAUAUCUUCUACGCCUCAUCAACCAGACUGCUUCUCUUCCCCAGCCACGAAUUACUUCAGCCAAUGUUUCUUACGAUAGAUCACAAUGACAUAUAGUGUUGGAUAUCUCUUGUUUAGUGCCCCUUAUUCAGCAAACUAUCCUCCCCAAAAUCUGGUUCUCCAUCCAUUGCCAACCAAUGUUUUGUUAUACGUAAUGCCCUACAGCUGCCUAUUAUUAUUUUUACUUCUUGACCAGCCACCCAUCAUCAUCCUUCUCAUAUUUAUGUAUUAUCAGCUUCUAUCAAAGUUGGUCUGUUGGAUCUCCUAGUCUCCACCACCACUUCCCUAACAGAGCUUGGUUAUUUAUUUAAGUUUUCAAGAUCCUAACCCACCCCUGUUCUUUGGAGAGCACACUAUGUCCCACUUAACCAGAUGAUUAUUUCUUUUUUAACUUCCACCCAUUCCACAAAAGUGCCUCAUCUGUUUCUCCAAUUCCCUAAUUACGGACAUUGGCAUUGGGAGUAAAGAUAGAUAUGUAGAUUUGAGAGACAUGCUUUUGUCAGUGCAAUUCUAUCCCCGAUGACAAGAAUCCAGUCUUCGAAGAGUCUGAUUUCCUGGCCACCCUUUCUACGACUCCAUCCCAAGAGGACUUUGGGGGAUUAACUGUACAAAGUGGUAAAGCUAGGUAGGAGCUCUGUAGCAUUUCAACUCCACAUCCUAUUCUUUUGGCUAAGCAUUAUAACAUCUUAUAUUAUAUAUGUUUUCCUUUGUUAACAUCAUCGAUGGGGCUUAUGGACGACACUCCUGCUGAAACUUGGCCUGUUCUCAAAGAAUGCAGGUUGCAUGGGGGCGUUUCGAACUUCUGGAGUGUUAUUAAGAAGAGCCCAAGGUGAUUGCACCAUAUUUGGUGGUUAGCGUGAUGCCCCAAUACUGGGGUCAGCAUCCAUGAUAUAAUCCAUGAUUUGGUGGAUACCCUUCAAGGUCGCUUCUAGUGUACAUAGGGAAGGGAAAGUGGAACACGCUGGACACUUACAAGGGAUUCUUCCCCACUCAAUGGGUGGAGUUGUUUGUGUAAAUUAGGCAUAAAAACAUUCAACUACUGAUGGGUAGUUGGGACUUUUCACUACAAGUGUAAUGAUCUUAGAUGGACACAGAGAAAAGAAAAGUACAUCCAACUGCGAUUCUUUAAGGAAGCAUAGAAGUCUGCCAUGGUAUGGUGUCAAAGGUGCAAAAUCAUGCAUGGCUUUUCACAUCAAUGUGUACACACCACUAGACCACCACCAUGGUGAAAUAAACACUUCAAUUAUGCAGGAAGCUCGCAAUGUCAAAUUCAGCUUAGAGUUUCUCUUAAAAAAAUCGGGUUGACUUGGAUCUCUUGGAAUCAUCUCAAUCAACUUUUUCCGUUUCUG
RNAcentral lists this long non-coding RNA (3407 nucleotides) under Amborella trichopoda. Its description in RNAcentral is "long non-coding RNA (ATRI_LNC004447)". The record is from RNAcentral. Lineage: Eukaryota; Viridiplantae; Streptophyta; Magnoliopsida; Amborellales; Amborellaceae.